RNAcentral lists this long non-coding RNA (205 nucleotides) under Gallus gallus (chicken). The record is from RNAcentral. Lineage: Eukaryota; Metazoa; Chordata; Aves; Galliformes; Phasianidae.
AACUACUUCUGUGGUGGAGCUUUACAUGUAGAUUGUAGAUUCCAAAGGCCUAUCUCAUUUCUCAGCCAUCACAACUUUUUGAAACCUGUCUGCAUGAUGGGCAGAGCCUUCCACGGGCCGUGUUUCUUCUCUUAAAGUGAGUUUUCACUUCUUUUUAAGUGUUACCUGUUUGGCUUAAAUAACCCCUUGAACCUUGCUGUUUUCC